AUAAAAUAAAUAUAUCAGUGUUAUUAGUAUUCUUAUGUUAGGCUAUUGAUGUUAAUGAAUCUAGAUAGAUAUAUAUGUCUAGAUUCAUUAACAUCAAUAUGAAUGUGGGAAAUGCUAGAAUGACUUACAUUGUGAAACGG
This 140-nucleotide unclassified non-coding RNA is filed under the name Oryza sativa (Asian cultivated rice). RNAcentral's name for it is "partial microRNA MIR455b-50 precursor". Lineage: Eukaryota; Viridiplantae; Streptophyta; Magnoliopsida; Poales; Poaceae. The record is from RNAcentral.